This 1013-nucleotide long non-coding RNA is filed under the name Mus caroli (Ryukyu mouse). Its description in RNAcentral is "lncRNA (MGP_CAROLIEiJ_G0002783.1)". Lineage: Eukaryota; Metazoa; Chordata; Mammalia; Rodentia; Muridae. The record is from RNAcentral.
CGAACACGCACGUUAUUGGAGGAUAGAGGAUUGAGUAAGAGAGCCCAAAAAUUUGAUUGGAGGAGCCGACUCCGGAUGUGCUUGACUGAACACUGAUUGGAGAACAGAGGGGUCAGGAAGAGCAGUUCCGCACGAGGAUUGGGCGGUGGCGUGUCCCAUGGAAACGGAAUCCAGAACUGCAGCCAGGGUUUUUCACGGGGGCGGAGCCGGCUCUUCCCCAGGCGCCUGCGCCUAACCGGUUCCCCGGCGCCAUUUUGUCCCGGCAGCAGCAGCCCGCAGCUCUAUCCCAUUUUCUGUGAGGGAAGGACGCGGACUCUCUCCGAGUUGUGCUGAAGACAACAGACACCUCCAUGACAACCCAAAGUAUCACAGAGGAAAUGAACAGCUGUGGACUCAUUCAAAGUUAAUUAAGAUUAGGUUUGACCAUGGAAGACUUCUAGAGACUCUUGGCUGAUGAUGUGGAAAAAGAGACCCAGAAGAACAAAAAAACAGGUGACUGGAAUGCUGGUCCCCCUGUGCAGGAACAGCUCAGGAGGCUGGCGGAGACAUGAGUGUCCUUGCAGAAGCCAGCAGUCUUGUUGGCUGUCAGGUCCUCAUGACUUAGAAUUACAUGUCAUCCUUUCAUGUGGCAUGAAUGAGGAUUUAUAAAGCCCUAUUACGGUUUGGUAUGCAGUCCAAACAGACUUACAAAGAUUGGCAGAUAAAUUUUACCUGCUCAAGCAUAGAGCAGAGACUCCUCUUUAGCUAAUUUGUGCAUACAGCACUUUCCGUACACAAGUUACUGCAGAGCUGGGGCAGGAAGUAAGGGUGGAAUUCCUGAGCACGCUGACACUGAUGCUGAAGGAAGCAGGAGGUGGGCGGAGCUGGCAGUGGUGAGAGCCACGUGGAUACAUGGGAUGGUGGAGGAGUCAGGAAAAGUUAGUAGCUAGCUGAGACUGUCCUAGCAAAAGACCAACAGCUUUAAUUUUCUUCAAAAUUUAAUAAUAAACUGUGGAAAUAAACUAUUUUGAAAG